GACGAACGCUGGCGGCGUGCUUAACACAUGCAAGUCGAACGCUGAAGCGCAGCUUUUGUUGGGUGGAUGAGUGGCGAACGGGUGAGAAACACGUGAGUAACCUGCCUCCUUCUUUGGGAUAACGCCCGGAAACGGGUGAUAAUACAGGAGAUUCACUGGUGUUCGCAUGGGGGCUGGUGGAAAGGGGCUUUCUGGUGGGGGAUGGGCUCGCGGCCUAUCGGCUUGUUGGUGGGCUGAUGGCCUACCAAGGCUGUGACGGGUUGGCGGCCUGAGAGGGUGACCUGGCACAUUGGCACGGUGAUACGGCCCAGGCUCCGACGGGGGGCGGCAGUGGGGAAUAUUGCACAAUGGGCGCAAGCCUGAUGCAGCGUCUCCGCGUGAGGUAUUGAGGCCUUCGGGUUGUGAACCUCUGUCGCACAGGGUCUAGCCGCAACAAUGGUUGUGUUGAGGGUAGUGGGUAAAGAAGCGCCGGCUAACUACGUG
RNAcentral lists this ribosomal RNA (483 nucleotides) under uncultured bacterium. RNAcentral's name for it is "partial 16S ribosomal RNA". It matches the Rfam family "Bacterial small subunit ribosomal RNA", at positions 28 to 507 of the family's 1533-position model. The record is from RNAcentral.